This 341-nucleotide ribosomal RNA is filed under the name uncultured bacterium. Its description in RNAcentral is "bacterial SSU rRNA". It matches the Rfam family "Bacterial small subunit ribosomal RNA", at positions 335 to 666 of the family's 1533-position model. The record is from RNAcentral.
ACUCCUACGGGAGGCAGCAGUGGGGAAUAUUGCACAAUGGGCGCAAGCCUGAUGCAGCCAUGCCGCGUGUGUGAAGAAGGCCUUCGGGUUGUAAAGCACUUUCAGUCGUGAGGAAGGUAGUGUAGUUAAUAGCUGCAUUAUUUGACGUUAGCGACAGAAGAAGCACCGGCUAACUCCGUGCCAGCAGCCGCGGUAAUACGGAGGGUGCGAGCGUUAAUCGGAAUUACGUGGGCGUAAAGCGCAUGCAGGUGGUUUGUUAAGUCAGAUGUGAAAGCCCGGGGCUCAACCUCGGAAUAGCAUUUGAAACUGGCAGACUAGAGUACUGGUAGAGGGGGUUAGAA